UCCUGGCUCAGGAUGAACGCUGGCGGCGUGCCUAAUACAUGCAAGUCGAGCGAACGGACGAGAGUGCUUGCACUCUUUGAUGUUAGCGGCGGACGGGUGAGUAACACGUGGGUAACCUACCUAUAAGACCGGGAUAACUUCGGGAAACCGGAGCUAAUACCGGAUAAUAUUUUUCUCUGCAUGGAGGAAUAGUGAAAGACGGUUUUGCUGUCACUUAUAGAUGGACCCGCGGUGUAUUAGCUAGUUGGUGAGGUAACGGCUCACCAAGGCAACGAUACAUAGCCGACCUGAGAGGGUGAUCGGCCACACUGGGACUGAGACACGGCCCAGACUCCUACGGGAGGCAGCAGUAGGGAAUCUUCCGCAAUGGACGAAAGUCUGACGGAGCAACGCCGCGUGAGUGAAGAAGGUUUUCGGAUCGUAAAACUCUGUUGUAAGGGAAGAACAAGUACGUUAGUAAC
RNAcentral lists this ribosomal RNA (461 nucleotides) under uncultured Macrococcus sp. Its description in RNAcentral is "bacterial SSU rRNA". It matches the Rfam family "Bacterial small subunit ribosomal RNA", at positions 17 to 465 of the family's 1533-position model. Lineage: Bacteria; Bacillati; Bacillota; Bacilli; Caryophanales; Staphylococcaceae. The record is from RNAcentral.